UCUCCUUUAUGUCCCUGAAGUGCUAUGUUCUAAAUCCAAUAGUGUCCAAGCUGAGGCCAGGCUUCCCGCAGGUGCUCCCAGCGAUGACAGAGCAAAGCAGGGAUUCUAAAGCAGUCCAGGUUCUGAGAUGCCAGGGGCUCCUCUAGUGGGUACUCUCUUUCCCUUGAGGACUCCCAUCAGCCUUGCCCAGACUAUCUUAUAACUGCAUUACAGUCUAAGGCUCAUUCUGUUCCAGUUUCCUUCCUUCCUUUCUUCCUUCUUUCCUUCCUUCCUUCCUCCCUUCCUCCCUCCCUCCUUUCUUUCCUGCCUUCCUUUCUCCCUCCCUCCCUCUCUCUCUCCCUUCCCCUUCCCCUUCGCCUUUUCCUUCCUUCCUUCCUUCCUUCCUUCCUUCCUUCCUUCCUUCCUUCCUUCCUUCCUUCCUUCCUUCCUUCCCUUUCUCCUCCACAAGAGUCAACUCUGCCCCUCCACGUGAUGACUUUCCUGGACUUUUUCAACACUCUUCCAUUAGCCUCUCACAGGUGUUCUCCCUCAAUAAAUCCCUUGUAUAUUUAAUCCCACCUGCAAUGUCACUGGGCUUUUGAAAACCAAGUGAGAAGACAAGUGUCUGUUGAUAGAAACCCUUCGGUAAAUGUUAACAUGUGAAAGCAGCACGUUUUCUGAGCUGAUAAUUUGGACAUAAAUUCAUACCCAUGAUCUGACAGUGGAAUGGGCUAUUUGAGCUUGGGUUUCUUUUGGAAAUAGAGGGGUCUUGAUGUAUUUUGCUUUCAGCGUGUAGAAAGAGAAGACAGGAUUGUAUCUGGGAGGAUUUUAUUCCAUUGGCUAGAGCUCAAUCGAUCAAAACAGAGAAUUUUCCAGAAUUGAAGAAAGACAUGAAUCUUCAAGUUGAAAAUGUUAUUUUGAAUUCUGAAUCCUCUGUAAUACAAAUGAAA
Long non-coding RNA from Pan troglodytes (chimpanzee), 929 nucleotides. RefSeq lists it as uncharacterized. The transcript is spliced from 3 exons. NCBI's taxonomy places the organism in Eukaryota, Metazoa, Chordata, Mammalia, Primates, Hominidae. The record is from RefSeq and is a predicted model, not a curated record.